CAGCCGCCGCGGUAAUACGAAGGGGGCUAGCGUUGUUCGGAAUUACUGGGCGUAAAGCGCACGUAGGCGGAUAUUUAAGUCAGGGGUGAAAUCCCAGAGCUCAACUCUGGAACUGCCUUUGAUACUGGGUAUCUUGAGUAUGGAAGAGGUGAGUGGAAUUCCGAGUGUAGAGGUGAAAUUCGUUGAGAUCGGAAAGAACACCAACGGCGAAAGCACUCUGCUGGGCCGAAACUGACACUGAGAGAUGAAAGCUAGGGGAGAAAAUGGGAUUAGAUACCCCUGUAGUCCCUGUCUCUUAUAC
Molecule: ribosomal RNA, 301 nt
Filed under: uncultured bacterium
Lineage: Bacteria
Description: partial 16S ribosomal RNA
Rfam family: Bacterial small subunit ribosomal RNA
Source: RNAcentral